This 1397-nucleotide long non-coding RNA is filed under the name Mus musculus (house mouse). RNAcentral's name for it is "long non-coding RNA chr10:82202580-82203977". Lineage: Eukaryota; Metazoa; Chordata; Mammalia; Rodentia; Muridae. The record is from RNAcentral.
CAGCUACACAGCUGUGUGUGAGGCCAUUUGGUGCUUCCCCUGGUAUGGUGAAAAGUCAGAUAGCAGCCUGUGGGACCUAAUCCUCUAUCAUAUGGGUUCUGAGGACCAAUGUACAGUCAUCAGACUUGGCUGUGAGAGGCUUUACCAUCUAAGCCAUCAUACCCUGAACCCUGAUUCUUUUAUUCUUCAUUUUUAGGGGGCAUUACUUUGAGACAUUGAAAUUUCCAAUUGGGCAUCUUUCUCUUGAGACAAGGUUUCUCAGUGUAAACACAGGCUGCCCUGGAACUCACUCUAUAGACUAGGUUGGCCUCAAACUCCCAGAGAUCCACCUGCCUCUGCUUCCAGAGUUACAGGAUUAAAGGUACCACCACUACUCAGCUGGGUUUUAUUUUUAUUAUGGGCUUGUGUAGUUUGGAUAGACCUUGAACAAGACUUUUCUGCCUCCACCUCUCAAGUUUUGGCAUGAUAGUUGUCACUCACCACAUCCUGUUUAUGGAGAGGCCUAGUGAAUUCUGGGCCAGCACUCUACCCACUGAGACCCAUCUGAGCUGAGAACAUUGAUAAAGGCGACUUGGAGAUGCACAGCUACACACCAACAUCCUAUCUCAGGUAGUAGAGAUAAGAAGAUAGAGGGGGAAGGGGGUGUUGUUAUUGUUAGUCUACUUCCUGAUGCUUAGGGCCAUCAAGUUCCUUGGGGCAAAUUUGAUCUUUGCUGUGAAGAUAUUAAAUUUCUUCCUCCUCUCUUACCAAUGGCACCCGGCAACAAUAACCAAUAUCAGCAGCAGCAGCAGCCACAAUCCCUUGGGGUUCUAGCAUUUAUAUACUCUCUGAAGAGUCCCCAGGAUUCCAAAUGUCACACAUAUGCAGAAACUCUCUGUAGCUGGCAAAAUCACACCCCUGCCAGAACAAAAGGCACAUCACAGUCUGCUGCUGUGGACAGUCUGAAGCUAUAUCCAACACUUGGGAUUAAAACAAAAACUUGCUCCCAUAACAUUUUAUGUUUUUAAAGAAAGCAAAAAUUUCACUAUACUGAAUCACAGGCCUGUGCCACUAAGCAAGGGAGCUAGAACACAGAGAUGCUCCUCUGCUUCCUUCCCUCCACUUUCCUUUUCUGCCUCUUCCAUCCCCACUUUCCCUCUAUGUUCCCUCUAUCCUUCCCCUUCAACUCUCUCUUCCCUUUCCCUUCCUCCCUUAUUUUCCCACACCUUUUUUUUUUUUUUUUGAGGCAUGGUCUCUUUUAGCCCAGGCAUCAUAUUAACUAUGUAGCUAAGUUGACCAUGAACCCCUGUCCCCUCUGCCUUUGUCUACCAUGUGCCCCCAGGAGGAGCCUCAGGAGCAUUGCCCUGAGCUUGCUUUAUAUUGAAGCCACCUCCUGUAUGGCAUUUAGUGAAUCCCCU